CCUACGGGAGGCAGCAGUAGGGAAUCUUCCACAAUGGGCGAAAGCCUGAUGGAGCAACGCCGCGUGGGUGAAGAAGGUCUUCGGAUCGUAAAACCCUGUUGUUAGAGAAGAAAGUACGGGAGAGUAACUGUUCACGUUUCGACGGUAUCUGACCAGAAAGCCACGGCUAACUCCGUGCCAGCAGCCGCGGUAAUACGGAGGUGGCAAGCGUUAUCCGGAGUUAUUGGGCGUAAAGGGAACGCAGGCGGUCUUUUAAGUCUGAUGUGAAAUCCUUCGGCUUAACCGGAGUAGUGCAUUGGAAACUGGGAGACUUGAGUGCAGAAGAGGAGAGUAGAACUCCAGGUGUAGCGGUGAAAUGCGUAGAUAUUAGGAGGAACACCAGUGGCGAAGGCGGGUUGCUAGACUGUAACUGACACUGAGGCACGAAAGCGUGGGGAGCAAACAGGAUUAGAUACCCCAGUAGUC
Molecule: ribosomal RNA, 465 nt
Filed under: uncultured bacterium
Lineage: Bacteria
Description: partial 16S ribosomal RNA
Rfam family: Bacterial small subunit ribosomal RNA
Source: RNAcentral